UUUUAGAAAGCGAAGUAUUUGCAUUUAGUUUCGGCCUAACUCUUGGUAUUACCUCUAAUUU
This 61-nucleotide transfer RNA is filed under the name Engaewa subcoerulea. RNAcentral describes it as "tRNA-Arg". The record is from RNAcentral. Lineage: Eukaryota; Metazoa; Arthropoda; Malacostraca; Decapoda; Parastacidae.